AGAGUUUGAUCAUGGCUCAGAGCGAACGCUGGCGGCAGGCUUAACACAUGCAAGUCGAGCGGGCGUAACAAUACGUCAGCGGCAGACGGGUGAGUAACGCGUGGGAACGUACCUUUUGGUUCGGAACAACCCAGGGAAACUUGGGCUAAUACCGGAUAAGCCCUUACGGGGAAAGAUUUAUCGCCGAAAGAUCGGCCCGCGUCUGAUUAGCUAGUUGGUGAGGUAAUGGCUCACCAAGGCGACGAUCAGUAGCUGGUCUGAGAGGAUGAUCAGCCACAUUGGGACUGAGACACGGCCCAAACUCCUACGGGAGGCAGCAGUGGGGAAUAUUGGACAAUGGGCGCAAGCCUGAUCCAGCCAUGCCGCGUGAGUGAUGAAGGCCCUAGGGUUGUAAAGCUCUUUUGUGCGGGAAGAUAAUGACGGUACCGCAAGAAUAAGCCCCGGCUAACUUCGUGCCAGCAGCCGCGGUAAUACGAAGGGGGCUAGCGUUGCUCGGAAUCACUGGGCGUAAAGGGUGCGUAGGCGGGUCUUUAAGUCAGAGGUGAAAUCCUGGAGCUCAACUCCAGAACUGCCUUUGAUACUGAAGAUCUUGAGUUCGGGAGAGGUGAGUGGAACUGCGAGUGUAGAGGUGAAAUUCGUAGAUAUUCGCAAGAACACCAGUGGCGAAGGCGGCUCACUGGCCCGAUACUGACGCUGAGGCACGAAAGCGUGGGGAGCAAACAGGAUUAGAUACCCUAGUAGUCC
RNAcentral lists this ribosomal RNA (744 nucleotides) under uncultured bacterium. RNAcentral describes it as "bacterial SSU rRNA". It matches the Rfam family "Bacterial small subunit ribosomal RNA", at positions 8 to 796 of the family's 1533-position model. The record is from RNAcentral.